Molecule: ribosomal RNA, 270 nt
Filed under: uncultured archaeon
Lineage: Archaea
Description: partial 16S ribosomal RNA
Rfam family: Archaeal small subunit ribosomal RNA
Source: RNAcentral
CAGCUCUCCGAGUGGUAGGGAUGAUUAUUGGGCUUAAAGCGUCCGUAGCCGGCUUAGCAAGUCUCCUGUUAAAUUCAGCGACCUAAUCGUUGAGCCGCGGGAGACACUACUAGGCUAGGAGGCGGGAGAGGCCGACGGUAUUCUCGGGGUAGGGGUGAAAUCCUAUAAUCCCGGGAGGACCACCAGUGGCGAAGGCUGUCGGCUAGAACGCGCUCGACGGUGAGGGACGAAAGCUGGGGGAGCGAACCGGAUUAGAUACCCGAGUAGUCC